GCGCAGCAGGCGAGAAACCUCCGCAAUGCGGGAAACCGUGACGGGGUCACCCCGAGUGCCACCCGAUGAGGGUGGCUUUUCCCCGGUCUAAAAAGCCGGGGGCAAUAAGCGGGGGGCAAGUCUGGUGUCAGCCGCCGCGGUAAUACCAGCCCCGCGAGUGGUCGGGACGUUUAUUGGGCCUAAAGCGUCCGUAGCCGGCUCGGUAAGUCCCUCCUUAAAUCCACGGGCUCAACCCCGUGGGCUGGGAGGGAUACUGCCGGGCUAGGGGGCGGGAGAGGCCGAGGGUACUCCCGGGGUAGGGGCGAAAUCCGUUAAUCCCGGGAGGACCACCAGUGGCGAAGGCGCUCGGCUGGAACGCGCCCGACGGUGAGGGACGAAAGCUGGGGGAGC
RNAcentral lists this ribosomal RNA (390 nucleotides) under uncultured microorganism. RNAcentral describes it as "bacterial SSU rRNA". It matches the Rfam family "Archaeal small subunit ribosomal RNA", at positions 330 to 720 of the family's 1478-position model. The record is from RNAcentral.